AGGGGCAAUGACUCCAGGUGACUCUGGUGUCUCGCUGAUGCCAUCACCACAGUGUGCUGACA
Molecule: small nucleolar RNA, 62 nt
Organism: Heterocephalus glaber (naked mole-rat)
Lineage: Eukaryota; Metazoa; Chordata; Mammalia; Rodentia; Bathyergidae
Product: small nucleolar RNA, C/D box 48
Source: Ensembl